This is a long non-coding RNA of Oncorhynchus keta (chum salmon), 1922 nucleotides long. RefSeq lists it as uncharacterized. The transcript is spliced from 5 exons. The record is from RefSeq and is a predicted model, not a curated record. NCBI's taxonomy places the organism in Eukaryota, Metazoa, Chordata, Actinopteri, Salmoniformes, Salmonidae.
UGUAGAGGACAGUGUGUAGAGGACAGUGUGUAUAUAUGUAGAUAAAAUACUGUGUGAUCUUUUGUCUUCAGGUCAGCAGUGUUGUGUAUAUUAGUUGGCUGGGGUCUUCAGGUCAGCAGUAUUGUGUAUAUUAGUUGGCUGGGGUCAUGAGGUCAGCAGUAUUGUGUAUAUUAGUUGGCUGGGGUCAUGAGGUCAGCAGUAUUGUGUAUAUUAGUUGGCUGGGGUCAUGAGGUCAGCAGUAUUGUGUAUAUUAGUUGGCUGGGGUCAUGAGGUCAGCAGUAUUGUGUAUAUUAGUUGGCUGGGGUCAUUAGGUCAGCAGUAUUGUGUAUAUUAGUUGGCUGGGGUCAUGAGGUCAGCAGUAUUGUGUAUAUUAGUUGGCUGGGGUCAUGAGGUCAGCAGUAUUGUGUAUAUUAGUUGGCUGGGGUCAUUAGGUCAGCAGUAUUGUGUAUAUUAGUUGGCUGGGGUCAUGAGGUCAGCAGUAUUGUGUAUAUUAGUUGGCUGGGGUCAUUAGGUCAGCAGUAUUGUGUAUAUUAGUUGGCUGGGGUCAUUAGGUCAGCAGUAUUGUGUAUAUUAGUUGGCUGGGGUCAUGAGGUCAGCAGUAUUGUGUAUAUUAGUUGGCUGGGGUCAUGAGGUCAGCAGUAUUGUGUUGUGUAUAUUAGUUGGCUGGGGUCAUGAGGUCAGCAGUAUUGUGUAUAUUAGUUAGCUGGGGUCAUGAGGUCAGCAGUAUUGUGUAUAUUAGUUGGCUGGGGUCAUUAGGUCAGCAGUAUUGUGUAUAUUAGUUGGCUGGGGUCAUUAGGUCAGCAGUAUUGUGUAUAUUAGUUGGCUGGGGUCAUGAGGUCAGCAGUAUUGUGUAUAUUAGUUGGCUGGGGUUAUUAGGUCAGCAGUAUUGUGUAUAUUAGUUGGCUGGGGUCAUGAGGUCAGCAGUAUUGUGUAUAUUAGUUGGCUGGGGUCAUUAGGUCAGCAGUAUUGUGUAUAUUAGUUGGCUGGGGUCAUGAGGUCAGCAGUAUUGUGUAUAUUAGUUGGCUGGGGUCAUUAGGUCAGCAGUAUUGUGUAUAUUAGUUGGCUGGGGUCAUGAGGUCAGCAGUAUUGUGUAUAUUAGUUGUCUGGGGUCUUUAGGUCAGCAGUAUUGUGUAUAUUAGUUGGCUGGGGUCUUUAGGUCAGCAGUAUUGUGUAUAUUAGUUGGCUGGGGUCAUUAGGUCAGCAGUAUUGUGUAUAUUAGUUAGCUGGGGUCUUUAGGUUAACGCCCAAGCCAGGUGACACCAUACCACUGCUGCCCGGGUGCACAUCAUGCAUGCACCACACACAUACUGUUGCACCAGGCUGAGGGGGGACUCCCGUUCCUGCGACACACACGUGUGUCGCUUUCAGAUUGAUUAAGCCUAAUCAACCGGAACAAAACAUUGGUUCGGUCAGGUCAUAUACACACUAGCCGUGUGUUCCUUAUCGGUUGUUUUCCCCAAGCGGCCGCAGAUUCAUUCAUUGAUUCGGUUCGCCAACACCGUUCUAUAAUAGUCUAUAGCGCCGCAGAAUACAUACACCCACCGCAGCCCCGGCCAUAACAGACGAAUGGAUGGCCAAGCAACAACCGUAUACAUUUAGCUUCUCUUAGCUUAUAUUGUGUAGGCUACAUCUCAGAGCGUGUUUCUAAACCGUAGACUACGUGGAGAGACGGAGAAGUGAAGAACGGGCGCGUCACGUUUCCUACGGUCUUCCCCUCUCUCACUCCCUAUUCCGCAGUAGUCUAUUCCUAUACCCUAGAGAGAACAGAAGCACGAGCCCCACCACCAACAAACCCCAAUAUACCAGAUCAAUAACACUAGUAUACAGUAGUAGCAGUGUCUUUAAUAACCCAGAGAAAAACACUGAUUUCAAAAUCACACUUAUAAAACCCCAGGAAUAAAAGGAGAAUCCGGUGCGUAAAA